Molecule: microRNA, 21 nt
Filed under: Homo sapiens (human)
Lineage: Eukaryota; Metazoa; Chordata; Mammalia; Primates; Hominidae
Description: hsa-miR-6515-5p
Source: miRBase by way of RNAcentral
UUGGAGGGUGUGGAAGACAUC